GCCGAGGUGACGGAAUGGUAGACGUAGCGGACUCAAAAUCCGCCGGGGUCACACCCGUGGGGGUUCGAGUCCCCCUCUCGGCACCA
Molecule: transfer RNA, 86 nt
Filed under: Synergistaceae bacterium
Lineage: Bacteria; Thermotogati; Synergistota; Synergistia; Synergistales; Synergistaceae
Description: tRNA-Leu
Rfam family: tRNA
About the family: Transfer RNA (tRNA) molecules are approximately 80 nucleotides in length. Their secondary structure includes four short double-helical elements and three loops (D, anti-codon, and T loops). Further hydrogen bonds mediate the characteristic L-shaped molecular structure. tRNAs have two regions of fundamental functional importance: the anti-codon, which is responsible for specific mRNA codon recognition, and the 3' end, to which the tRNAs corresponding amino acid is attached (by aminoacyl-tRNA synthetases). tRNAs cope with the degeneracy of the genetic code in two manners: having more than one tRNA (with a specific anti-codon) for a particular amino acid; and 'wobble' base-pairing, i.e. permitting non-standard base-pairing at the 3rd anti-codon position.
Source: RNAcentral